This 491-nucleotide ribosomal RNA is filed under the name Salmonella enterica subsp. enterica serovar Enteritidis. RNAcentral describes it as "partial 23S ribosomal RNA". It matches the Rfam family "Bacterial large subunit ribosomal RNA", at positions 60 to 590 of the family's 2925-position model. The record is from RNAcentral. Lineage: Bacteria; Pseudomonadati; Pseudomonadota; Gammaproteobacteria; Enterobacterales; Enterobacteriaceae.
GCUAAUCUGCGAUAAGCGCCGGUAAGGUGAUAUGAACCGUUAUAACCGGCGAUACCCGAAUGGGGAAACCCAGUGUGACUCGUCACACUAUCAUUAACUGAAUCCAUAGGUUAAUGAGGCGAACCGGGGGAACUGAAACAUCUAAGUACCCCGAGGAAAAGAAAUCAACCGAGAUUCCCCCAGUAGCGGCGAGCGAACGGGGAGGAGCCCAGAGCCUGAAUCAGCAUGUGUGUUAGUGGAAGCGUCUGGAAAGGCGCGCGAUACAGGGUGACAGCCCCGUACACAAAAGCGCAUGUGCUGUGAGCUCGAUGAGUAGGGCGGGACACGUGGUAUCCUGUCUGAAUAUGGGGGGACCAUCCUCCAAGGCUAAAUACUCCUGACUGACCGAUAGUGAACCAGUACCGUGAGGGAAAGGCGAAAAGAACCCCGGCGAGGGGAGUGAAAAAGAACCUGAAACCGUGUACGUACAAGCAGUGGGAGCACCCUUUGGG